This 253-nucleotide ribosomal RNA is filed under the name uncultured bacterium. Its description in RNAcentral is "partial 16S ribosomal RNA". It matches the Rfam family "Bacterial small subunit ribosomal RNA", at positions 524 to 776 of the family's 1533-position model. The record is from RNAcentral.
UACGUAGGUGGCGAGCGUUGUCCGGAUUUACUGGGCGUAAAGGGAGCGUAGGCGGAUUUUUAAGUGAGAUGUGAAAUACUCGGGCUCAACUUGAGUGCUGCAUUUCAAACUGGAAGUCUAGAGUGCAGGAGAGGGGAAUGGAAUUCCUAGUGUAGCGGUGAAAUGCGUAGAGAUUAGGAAGAACACCAGUGGCGAAGGCGAUUCUCUGGACUGUAACUGACGCUGAGGCUCGAAAGCGUGGGGAGCAAACAGG